GGACUACCGGGGUAUCUAAUCCUGUUUGCUCCCCACGCUUUCGUGCAUGAGCGUCAGUCUUAUCCCAGGGGGCUGCCUUCGCCAUCGGUAUUCCUCCACAUCUCUACGCAUUUCACUGCUACACGUGGAAUUCUACCCCCCUCUGACAGACUCGAGCUUGCCAGUUUCAAACGCAAUUCCCAGGUUAAGCCCGGGGCUUUCACAUCUGACUUAACAAACCGCCUGCGCACGCUUUACGCCCAGUAAUUCCGAUUAACGCUCGCACCCUACGUAUUACCGCGGCUGCUGGCAC
This 292-nucleotide ribosomal RNA is filed under the name uncultured bacterium. RNAcentral describes it as "partial 16S ribosomal RNA". RNAcentral also lists the same sequence under 1 other name. The record is from RNAcentral.